GGGUCAGUAGGUUGGUCGUGCCACCGGUACGUACUGGUCACACUGAUUCCUCCUUCCUGAAGAACCGUAAUGCCACUAAUUUGGUGUUGCGGGGAAACAGGACUGUUACUUUGAAAAAAUUAGAGUGUUUAAAGCAAGCUAACGCUUGAAUACAUUAGCAUGGAAUAAUGAAAUAGGACGAUCGAUCCUAUUUUGUUGGUUUCUAGGAUUGACGUA
Molecule: ribosomal RNA, 216 nt
Filed under: Glomeromycotina sp.
Lineage: Eukaryota; Fungi; Glomeromycota
Description: partial small subunit ribosomal RNA
Rfam family: Eukaryotic small subunit ribosomal RNA (bases 87-216)
Source: RNAcentral